Molecule: long non-coding RNA, 1017 nt
Organism: Phyllostomus discolor (pale spear-nosed bat)
Lineage: Eukaryota; Metazoa; Chordata; Mammalia; Chiroptera; Phyllostomidae
Exons: 2
Source: RefSeq, a predicted model, not a curated record
GAUAAAAAUGGACUUAAAAAACACUCAAUUAAUCCAAGAAAAGGCAAAAGGAGAAACAAAGAACAGAGGGGAAAAAAAAAAGAAAAAAAUUUUAAACAAAUACCACAAUGGCAUGACUUAAUAAUACCAAUAUUGUAUUAAAUCUUAAUUGAUUUCACACUCUGAUAAAAGACAGAGAUUGGCAAACUAGAUUUAAAACAAACAAACAAAAAAUACACAAGACCUAUGUGCUGUUUUCAAGAGAUUAACGGUAAAUAAAAACACACUGAUAGAAGACUUCCCCUGCUGCUCAGGAAGGAUUAACCACUCGGAUAAGUGACCUCUAGUGGUGACAAGCACAGGGGUGAAGCAGCCACUUUCGAAUAUCACAGGCAGCUCAGGAAUGGCACUCCCAGAGAAGGCAAACAAACUCUGACUACCUGGAGGAGAUUAGAGGAUGCAACCCAGAGAGGGAAACCCAAAUAAGGGCCAGACGUCUCACUCAGUUGAGGAAACAAAGCUCAAAGUUCAGGGAGGUCACAGCGGCUGCCACUUGCAGAACAAAAUACUACAGAAGAGAGGUGUGCACAGCAGCCUGCAGAUAGGACCGAGUCUUGGACUGAACACUGAAUUGAACACAGUGCGAAACUCCGUGAACCUGGAGAGGGAGCCACCAGAAAACCCGCAGGUCAAGCAAUGCCAGGACCUCACAGAGGACUGGGAAUAGUCUGCAUUCCCACUGGCCAAGGUGGAGAGAUCUCCUAAUCCAAAGGGCGUUGUCUAGAGCCCACAAAAAGGCACUCUUAGUGGGAAUAAAUUCUCACUGGACUCAGGACUGCUACGUACGGGUCCUGACAAACCUUAAAAACAAGUUUUUGAAAUUGAUCAUACAAAUCCCACAUAACAUAACUCCAUGCCAGAAUGAAGUUCAACACACUAAAAGAAAUACAACAAAAUUGAGUAAUAAACUACAAAAAUCACGAUGCCUAGGAUACCAUACAAAGUAACUGAGCUGGAAAUUCUGAUCCAUAAUUAGUA